RNAcentral lists this ribosomal RNA (1778 nucleotides) under metagenome. Its description in RNAcentral is "SSU rRNA". It matches the Rfam family "Eukaryotic small subunit ribosomal RNA". The record is from RNAcentral.
GGUUGAUCCUGCCAGUAGUCAUAUGCUUGUCUCAAAGAUUAAGCCAUGCAUGUCUAAGUACACACUUUGGUAAAGUGAAACCGCGAAUGGCUCAUUAAAUCAGCUACAAGUUAUUAGAUCGUACACUGUUACUUGGAUAACUGUGGGAAUUCUAGAGCUAAUACAUGCCGAGAGUCUCUGCUCUUCGGGGCAGAGCGCAGUUAUUAGACCAAAACCAGCCGUAUUCUUCGGGGUAGGCUCUUUUGGUGACUCUGGAUAACCUUCAGCCGAUCGCAUGGCCUCGUGCCGGCGACGUAUCUUUCAAGUGUCUGCCCUAUCAACUUUCGAUGGUACGUGAUAUGCCUACCAUGGUGAUAACGGGUAACGGGGAAUCAGGGUUCGAUUCCGGAGAGGGAGCCUGAGAAAUGGCUACCACAUCCAAGGAUGGCAGCAGGCGCGCAAAUUACCCACUCCCAGCUUGGGGAGGUAGUGACGAAAAAUAACAAUGCGGGACUCUAAGAGGCCCCGUAAUUGGAAUGAGUACGCCUUAAAUCGUUUAACGAGUAUCAAUUGGAGGGCAAGUCUGGUGCCAGCAGCCGCGGUAAUUCCAGCUCCGAUAGCGUAUAUUAAAGUUGCUGCAGUUAAAAAGCUCGUAGUUGGAUCUGGGGCUUGAGGUCGCUGUCUAUCGUUUCGGCGAUGACGGUGAUGCUCAGCUCUGCUUGCCGGUGACUGUUGCGGUGCUCUUCACUGAGCGCUGUAGCAGCACGGCACGUUUACUUUGAAAAAAUAAGAGUGCUCAAAGCGUGCUUGUCGCUUGAAUAAUGUUGCAUGGAAUAAUGGAAUAGGACCUCGGUUCUAUUUUGUUGGUUUUCGGAGCUUGAGGUAAUGAUUAAGAGGGACGAACGGGGGCAUUCGUAUUGCGGUGUUAGAGGUGAAAUUCUUGGAUCGCCGCAAGACGGACUACUGCGAAAGCAUUUGCCAAGAACGCUUUCAUUGAUUAAGAACGAAAGUCAGAGGUUCGAAGACGAUCAGACACCGUCCUAGUUCUGACCAUAAACGAUGCCGACCAGCGAUCCGUAGUGGUUGCUUAAUGGACCCUACGGGCAGCCUCCGGGAAACCAAAGUAUUUGGGUUCCGGGGGAAGUAUGGUUGCAAAGCUGAAACUUAAAGGAAUUGACGGAAGGGCACACCAGGAGUGGAGCCUGCGGCUUAAUUUGACACAACACGGGAAAACUCACCCGGUCCGGACACCGUAAGGAUUGACAGACUGAUAGCUCUUUCUUGAUUCGGUGGAUGGUGGUGCAUGGCCGUUCUUAGUUGGUGGAGUGAUUUGUCUGGUUAAUUCCGAUAACGAACGAGACUCUAGCCUGCUAAGUAGUGUUGCUAUUGUUAUAUGGUUGACACUUCUUAGAGGGACAAGUGGCAUUUAGCCACGCGAAAUUGAGCAAUAACAGGUCUGUGAUGCCCUUAGAUGUCCGGGGCCGCACGCGCGCUACACUGGAGAAGUCAGCGUGUGUUAUCCAAGACCGAAAGGACUGGGUAAUCCGUUGAACCUUCUUCGUGCUUGGGACUGUGGCUUGGAACUAUUCCACAUGAACGAGGAAUUCCUAGUAAUUGCAAGUCAUAAGCUUGCGUUGAUUACGUCCCUGCCCUUUGUACACACCGCCCGUCCUACUACCGAUUGAAUGGUUUAGCAAGGUCCUCGGAUCGUGGCCGUAGGGGCACGCAAGUGUUUCUGCGGUUUGCGAGAAGACGACCAAACUUGAUCAUUUAGAGGAAGUAAAAGUCGUAACAAGGUU